RNAcentral lists this ribosomal RNA (2923 nucleotides) under Klebsiella pneumoniae. RNAcentral describes it as "bacterial LSU rRNA". It matches the Rfam family "Bacterial large subunit ribosomal RNA". The record is from RNAcentral. Lineage: Bacteria; Pseudomonadati; Pseudomonadota; Gammaproteobacteria; Enterobacterales; Enterobacteriaceae. RNAcentral also lists the same sequence under 2 other names.
GGGUUGUGAGGUUAAGCGACUAAGCGUACACGGUGGAUGCCCUGGCAGUCAGAGGCGAUGAAGGACGUGCUAAUCUGCGAAAAGCGUCGGUAAGGUGAUAUGAACCGUUAUAACCGGCGAUGUCCGAAUGGGGAAACCCAGUGUGAUUCGUCACACUAUCGUUAACUGAAUACAUAGGUUAACGAGGCGAACCGGGGGAACUGAAACAUCUAAGUACCCCGAGGAAAAGAAAUCAACCGAGAUUCCCCCAGUAGCGGCGAGCGAACGGGGAGCAGCCCAGAGUCUGAAUCAGCUUGUGUGUUAGUGGAACGGUCUGGAAAGUCCGACGGUACAGGGUGAUAGUCCCGUACACCAAAAUGCACAGGUUGUGAACUCGAAGAGUAGGGCGGGACACGUGGUAUCCUGUCUGAAUAUGGGGGGACCAUCCUCCAAGGCUAAAUACUCCUGACUGACCGAUAGUGAACCAGUACCGUGAGGGAAAGGCGAAAAGAACCCCGGCGAGGGGAGUGAAAAAGAACCUGAAACCGUGUACGUACAAGCAGUGGGAGCACCUUCGGGUGUGACUGCGUACCUUUUGUAUAAUGGGUCAGCGACUUAUAUUCUGUAGCAAGGUUAACCGUAUAGGGGAGCCGCAGGGAAACCGAGUCUUAACUGGGCGUUAAGUUGCAGGGUAUAGACCCGAAACCCGGUGAUCUAGCCAUGGGCAGGUUGAAGGUUGGGUAACACUAACUGGAGGACCGAACCGACUAAUGUUGAAAAAUUAGCGGAUGACUUGUGGCUGGGGGUGAAAGGCCAAUCAAACCGGGAGAUAGCUGGUUCUCCCCGAAAGCUAUUUAGGUAGCGCCUCGUGAACUCAUCUUCGGGGGUAGAGCACUGUUUCGGCUAGGGGGUCAUCCCGACUUACCAACCCGAUGCAAACUACGAAUACCGAAGAAUGUUAUCACGGGAGACACACGGCGGGUGCUAACGUCCGUCGUGAAGAGGGAAACAACCCAGACCGCCAGCUAAGGUCCCAAAGUCAUGGUUAAGUGGGAAACGAUGUGGGAAGGCACAGACAGCCAGGAUGUUGGCUUAGAAGCAGCCAUCAUUUAAAGAAAGCGUAAUAGCUCACUGGUCGAGUCGGCCUGCGCGGAAGAUGUAACGGGGCUAAACCAUGCACCGAAGCUGCGGCAGCGACACUAUGUGUUGUUGGGUAGGGGAGCGUUCUGUAAGCCUGCGAAGGUGUGCUGUGAGGCAUGCUGGAGGUAUCAGAAGUGCGAAUGCUGACAUAAGUAACGAUAAAGCGGGUGAAAAGCCCGCUCGCCGGAAGACCAAGGGUUCCUGUCCAACGUUAAUCGGGGCAGGGUGAGUCGACCCCUAAGGCGAGGCCGAAAGGCGUAGUCGAUGGGAAACAGGUUAAUAUUCCUGUACUUGGUGUUACUGCGAAGGGGGGACGGAGAAGGCUAUGUUAGCCGGGCGACGGUUGUCCCGGUUUAAGCAUGUAGGCUGAUUGUCCAGGCAAAUCCGGAUAAUCAAGGCUGAGGUGUGAUGACGAGGCACUACGGUGCUGAAGUAACAAAUGCCCUGCUUCCAGGAAAAGCCUCUAAGCAUCAGGUAACAUCAAAUCGUACCCCAAACCGACACAGGUGGUCAGGUAGAGAAUACCAAGGCGCUUGAGAGAACUCGGGUGAAGGAACUAGGCAAAAUGGUGCCGUAACUUCGGGAGAAGGCACGCUGGUGUGUAGGUGAAGUCCCUGCGGAUGGAGCUGAGACCAGUCGAAGAUACCAGCUGGCUGCAACUGUUUAUUAAAAACACAGCACUGUGCAAACACGAAAGUGGACGUAUACGGUGUGACGCCUGCCCGGUGCCGGAAGGUUAAUUGAUGGGGUUAUCCGUAAGGAGAAGCUCUUGAUCGAAGCCCCGGUAAACGGCGGCCGUAACUAUAACGGUCCUAAGGUAGCGAAAUUCCUUGUCGGGUAAGUUCCGACCUGCACGAAUGGCGUAAUGAUGGCCAGGCUGUCUCCACCCGAGACUCAGUGAAAUUGAACUCGCUGUGAAGAUGCAGUGUACCCGCGGCAAGACGGAAAGACCCCGUGAACCUUUACUAUAGCUUGACACUGAACAUUGAGCCUUGAUGUGUAGGAUAGGUGGGAGGCUUUGAAGCGUGGACGCCAGUCUGCGUGGAGCCAACCUUGAAAUACCACCCUUUAAUGUUUGAUGUUCUAACGUUGGCCCCUUACCGGGGUUGCGGACAGUGUCUGGUGGGUAGUUUGACUGGGGCGGUCUCCUCCCAAAGCGUAACGGAGGAGCACGAAGGUUAGCUAAUCCUGGUCGGACAUCAGGAGGUUAGUGCAAUGGCAUAAGCUAGCUUGACUGCGAGCGUGACGGCGCGAGCAGGUGCGAAAGCAGGUCAUAGUGAUCCGGUGGUUCUGAAUGGAAGGGCCAUCGCUCAACGGAUAAAAGGUACUCCGGGGAUAACAGGCUGAUACCGCCCAAGAGUUCAUAUCGACGGCGGUGUUUGGCACCUCGAUGUCGGCUCAUCACAUCCUGGGGCUGAAGUAGGUCCCAAGGGUAUGGCUGUUCGCCAUUUAAAGUGGUACGCGAGCUGGGUUUAGAACGUCGUGAGACAGUUCGGUCCCUAUCUGCCGUGGGCGCUGGAGAAUUGAGGGGGGCUGCUCCUAGUACGAGAGGACCGGAGUGGACGCAUCACUGGUGUUCGGGUUGUCAUGCCAAUGGCACUGCCCGGUAGCUAAAUGCGGAAGAGAUAAGUGCUGAAAGCAUCUAAGCACGAAACUUGCCCCGAGAUGAGUUCUCCCUGAGACUUUAAGUCUCCUGAAGGAACGUUGAAGACGACGACGUUGAUAGGCCGGGUGUGUAAGCGCAGCGAUGCGUUGAGCUAACCGGUACUAAUGAACCGUGAGGCUUAACCUUACAACGCCGAAG